GAAAGAUUUGUGGAUAAGAAUUUCUCUCUCCUAAAAUAAACUGCCAUUACAUUUUGCCAACUGCUGCACCUCCAUUCAGCCAUGGCUGGUAUCACCAGCACAACAACCAGCUCCUUCCCUUUCACCACUCCAACACCUAUAACAAUCAAUACGGCGCAGUUUAAUCUCUCAUCACUCGACUCAAAGCUCUUCGGACUCCGAUUUCGUUGCUCUACUAAUCUCUUUAAAUCACACUCUCUCGCUUCUCUCUCGCGCGCCUCCUCCACCUCUGUACUAGUCACUACUGCUCGUUUCGGAGGUGGCGGUAAUCGAUAUUCCGGUGACUCACGGCGGUCUAGGCAGAGCAUCCCUGAUGAAGACGAGGCUCUUGAUAUUUCCAGCAUUAGGUCAUCUACUGUGAGGCUUAUUGACGGGAAGCAAAAUAUGGUUGGAGUGGUACCUAAAAAUGAAGCAAUUCAAAUGGCUGAAGAUGCUGAACUUGAUUUGGUGAUACUGUCACCAGAUGCUGAUCCACCGGUUGUUAGAAUAAUGGAUUACACCAAGUAUAAAUAUGAACAGCAAAAGAAGAAGAAAGAACAGCAGAAGAAGAGUUCCGCAUCACGCAUGGAUCUGAAGGAGCUUAAGAUGGGGUACAACAUUGAUCAACAUGACUAUGAUGUGCGUAUGAGAGCUGCCAAAAAGUUUUUAAAAGACGGCGACAAGGUUAAAGUCAUGGUGAACCUGAAGGGUCGUGAAAAUGAGUUCAGAAAUAUUGCUAUUGAGCUUAUCAGGCGUUUCCAGAAUGAUGUCGGGGAGCUGGCAACCGAGGAGAGCAAAAACUUCAGAGAUAGGACUAUAUUUAUUACUUUGGUACCAAAUAAGGCUCUUCUACUGAAACCGCAGGAGCCACCGAAGAAAAGUGAUAAGCCAGCUGUAAAUGAAGUUUCAGCUGGUGUGUGAGUGAACUUGGAAGUUUCAUGAGGGGCUCCAACAAAGGAUAGUCGGCAAGUGCAGAAGGGUUCGCUAUAAUCAAUGUCAAGGGAACUUGCUUGUUGAUCUUAUAGAGGUGAGAAUAAGUGGCCUGUUGCUACCUGAUAUGAAAAGAUAGGGAAAAGGAAAAGGAUUUCCCAGCUGGUGAUGCCAACACAGUUUGGUACUUUUAUUAAUUGUUAUUUUAGGUUAUGAUAUAUUUUUGUUAUGUUGGGGAGUGUCCGAUAUCAUUUCUUUCAGAUUCGGACAAGUCUAGUUAGCUCACGAAUUAUUUGAAAUUGACUCUAAAUUAAUUAUUUGGUAAUCAAGUCGAGUCGAAUUUGAGCUGCUUUAGUCAACUGGCGAGAUGUUUAGUUUGAUAAGCUCUCGAGUAACUGAGUAAGUCUAAUUGAGUUUCGAUUACUUUUUCUUUUGACAACUAUAUAAAUUUAUAAUAAUAUUGUUAUACACUAAAGUUUAAUUUUUAAUUUUUUGGGUUGA
Mercurialis annua (annual mercury) is the source of this 1449-nucleotide RNA transcript. It is a transcript of the gene named translation initiation factor IF3-2, chloroplastic, with no coding region annotated. The transcript is spliced from 10 exons. NCBI's taxonomy places the organism in Eukaryota, Viridiplantae, Streptophyta, Magnoliopsida, Malpighiales, Euphorbiaceae. The record is from RefSeq and is a predicted model, not a curated record.